This is a long non-coding RNA of Olea europaea var. sylvestris, 953 nucleotides long. RefSeq lists it as uncharacterized. The record is from RefSeq and is a predicted model, not a curated record. The transcript is spliced from 3 exons. Lineage: Eukaryota; Viridiplantae; Streptophyta; Magnoliopsida; Lamiales; Oleaceae.
CUUUCCGUUCCUUUUCCCUUUCUUUCGAUGAAGCCCUCACCACUAGCUCCACCCCUGAUGUGUCACCUCAACGCUUCCAUUAGUCACAGAAUUAAUCUAAAUGUCCAGGAUAGAGAUUCACAGAAUAGUGCCAGAAUAGAGAUGAAGCUGGGUCCCACACGUGUAUAAAAAAUUGGCAACAAAAUUGCGGGCCCACAUGAUUGUGUCUUUCCUAUAAGGAUUCUGUAAGCCAAGCAAAACUCUGGCGUCCACUUUGUAUCAUUGGCCGACGUUAACAUUCGCCACCUUAACUUAACAUCUCAAUCGACGUCCUUCGCAUCCUACGACAUUUCUAAUGAUUCCACUGCCGGAUCAUCGUCAAUUUGGGCAGCGAUGCUAUGAGUUCCUUGACCACUUCCCUCAUGAUGGGCCAUUAUUUUUGAAAAUAUGUUGAGAAUCUACCAAUGGGAUACCUAAUAGUCAUAUCGGCGCAAAGAUUUGCUAGGGUUGAAUGUAAACAUACUUGGGGCUACUCAAAAGCCCUCAGGAAUUGAGUUGAUGUUCUCACAUCCAUCGCAUGAGUAGUUGAAGCAAGUGAAUAAUUUGAAAUUUGAGUUAUUUCAUGGAUAUAUUGAACUUAUAAUAGUACCUCAAAAUUCACUUAGACUUGCACAUGGAAUGUUGUGUAGCCCUGUAAGGAUUUUGAUGGUAAAAAGGUAAAGAAGAAAAUGUGUGUUAUAAUGAAGUUGUCGUUGUAAGAGAUGACAUUUUCCUGAUUGUUACAAGUUUUUCUACAAUUAUUGUUUUAUAUUUGUAAGUUGUCAUUCCAAUUUUUAAGCAACCAUCAACAAGAAAAUGGAGGGAGGCAGAGAUCCUUUCUCUGGUUUUGGUAACGCUUUCGGUUGUUUCAGUGGCUUUGGUGGCCAAAGAAGCUUAAUGUCAAGGGUUUUUUUUGUUUGUUUGUUUUUUGUUUU